ACUAAGUGAGCUACUUUAAAAUAGCCCCAGAGCCAACCCAUCUCUGUUGCAAUAGAGUGGGAUAAUUUUUAAGUAGAGGUGAUAAACCUAUCGAACUUAGAGAUAGCUGGUUUUUUAAGAAAAGAUUUUUAGUUCAGCCCUGAGUCUUCUAUUACACAAGAAUUAAACUAAACUCAGGAGUUAUUCAAAUAAGGCACAGCUUAUUUGAAACAGGAUACAACCUAGAAAAAAGGGUAAGACAAAUUUAAUCUCUGACAAGUGGGCCUGAAAGCAGCCACCUUUUAAAAAGCGUCAAAGCUUAACAUUAAUAAUUUUCUUAAUAUCUAAAUUAAUUUCUAACCCUUAUUUACUAUUAAAAAACUCCAUAAAAUUAUGGAAGUUAUUAUGCUAGAACAAGUAACAAGAAAAAGACUUUCUCCAAAAUGUAAGCUUAAGCCACAACAGACAAACUGAUGGCAAUUAACGUUUAUGAGUCACUUGUAGUAACACCAACAGGAAAACUCUACAUGAGUUCUAACGUCA
Molecule: ribosomal RNA, 522 nt
Filed under: Boophis elenae
Lineage: Eukaryota; Metazoa; Chordata; Amphibia; Anura; Mantellidae
Description: partial 16S ribosomal RNA
Rfam family: Bacterial large subunit ribosomal RNA (bases 1-391)
Source: RNAcentral